RNAcentral lists this long non-coding RNA (255 nucleotides) under Cucumis sativus (cucumber). RNAcentral's name for it is "long non-coding RNA (CSAT_LNC002384)". The record is from RNAcentral. Lineage: Eukaryota; Viridiplantae; Streptophyta; Magnoliopsida; Cucurbitales; Cucurbitaceae.
CAAGAGCUUUUAUCCCUUUAGGGCACACAUACCAAUUAAACUAAUGCAAGACCUUUGACAGUAGUUAACGGUAGCAUCUCACAAAGUGGAAGUGGUUGGCUUACCAACGAAAGAUUUUCAAUCAUUUCUAGCAGUCCCUUUUCUAUUUGAGUAUGACCUUCCAUAUUUUCUGCUAUAUUACUUAUAGUUAAUAUCAAAUGUGCAUCUCUGCCAUCUAUGCUAAUAUCACUGCCUGACUGCUCUUGAUGUUGAGGC